Molecule: ribosomal RNA, 371 nt
Filed under: uncultured bacterium
Lineage: Bacteria
Description: bacterial SSU rRNA
Rfam family: Bacterial small subunit ribosomal RNA
Source: RNAcentral
GUAGGUGGCAAGCGUUAUCCGGAAUUAUUGGGCGUAAAGCGCGCGCAGGCGGUCUCUUAAGUCUGAUGUGAAAGCCCACGGCUCAACCGUGGAGGGUCAUUGGAAACUGGGAGACUUGAGUGCAGGAGAGAAAAGUGGAAUUCCACGUGUAGCGGUGAAAUGCGUAGAGAUGUGGAGGAACACCAGUGGCGAAGGCGGCUUUUUGGCCUGUAACUGACGCUGAGGCGCGAAAGCGUGGGGAGCAAACAGGAUUAGAUACCCUGGUAGUCCACGCCGUAAACGAUGAGUGCUAGGUGUUGGGGGGUUCCACCCUCAGUGCUGAAGUUAACACAUUAAGCACUCCGCCUGGGGAGUACGACCGCAAGGUUGAA